This is a long non-coding RNA of Amblyraja radiata (thorny skate), 155 nucleotides long. RefSeq lists it as uncharacterized. The transcript is spliced from 3 exons. Lineage: Eukaryota; Metazoa; Chordata; Chondrichthyes; Rajiformes; Rajidae. The record is from RefSeq and is a predicted model, not a curated record.
AGGAGGCCAUUUCAACAAACACUUGUGCUUGGUCCACCAAGGCUUGCUGGAUCUCUUGGUUGCGAACCAUUUUAACUCCCCUUCCCAUUCCCACACUGAUCUUUCUGUCCUGGGCCUCCUCCACUGUCAGAGUGAGUUUGAAAGAGCUAGAUAGG